GGAUGGGAGACACAGAGCUGCACCGAGAAACUCCCCUUCUUCUGCUAUGGUGGAAAGACCACUACAACUUCACAUACUACUACACCUGGAGUCACAAGUCCUACAAGCCAAGGUGCUGUGAGGUUGGUGAAUGGAGGCAGUCGAUGCGCU
Molecule: long non-coding RNA, 150 nt
Organism: Sardina pilchardus (European sardine)
Lineage: Eukaryota; Metazoa; Chordata; Actinopteri; Clupeiformes; Clupeidae
Exons: 3
Source: RefSeq, a predicted model, not a curated record